Molecule: ribosomal RNA, 449 nt
Filed under: uncultured bacterium
Lineage: Bacteria
Description: SSU rRNA
Rfam family: Bacterial small subunit ribosomal RNA
Source: RNAcentral
AGAGCGAACGCUGGCGGCAGGCCUAAUACAUGCAAGUCGAACGGAUCCUUCGGGAUUAGUGGCGGACGGGUGAGUAACACGUGGGAACGUGCCCUUUGGUUCGGAACAACUCAGGGAAACUUGAGCUAAUACCGGAUGUGCCCUUCGGGGGAAAGAUUUAUCGCCAUUGGAGCGGCCCGCGUCUGAUUAGCUAGUUGGUGAGGUAAAGGCCCACCAAGGCUACGAUCAGUAGCUGGUCUGAGAGGAUGAUCAGCCACACUGGGACUGAGACACGGCCCAGACUCCUACGGGAGGCAGCAGUAGGGAAUCUUGCGCAAUGGGCGAAAGCCUGACGCAGCCAUGCCGCGUGAAUGAUGAAGGUCUUAGGAUUGUAAAAUUCUUUCAGCGGGGAAGAUAAUGACUGUACCCGCAGAAGAAGCUCCGGCUAACUUCGUGCCAGCAGCCGCGGU